Molecule: ribosomal RNA, 427 nt
Filed under: uncultured bacterium
Lineage: Bacteria
Description: partial 16S ribosomal RNA
Rfam family: Bacterial small subunit ribosomal RNA
Source: RNAcentral
GGGGGAAUAUUGGACAAUGGGCGAAAGCCUGAUCCAGCCAUGCCGCGUGUGUGAAGCAGGUCUUCGGAUUGUAAAGCACUUUAAGUUGGGAGGAAGGGUUGUAGAUUAAUACUAUGCAAUUUUGACGUUACCGACAGAAUAAGCACCGGCUAACUCAGCGCAAGCAGCCGCGGUAAUAAAGAGGGUGCAAGCGUUAAUCGGAAUUACUGGGCGUAAAGCGCGCGUAGGUGGUUUGUUAAGUUGGAUGUGAAAGCCCCGGGCUCAACCUGGGAACUGCAUCCAAAACUGGCAAGCUAGAGUACGGUAGAGGGUGGUGGAAUUUCCUGUGUAGCGGUGAAAUGCGUAGAUAUAGGAAGGAACACCAGUGGCGAAGGCGACCACCUGGACUGAUACUGACACUGAGGUGCGAAAGCGUGGGGAGCAAACA